This 425-nucleotide long non-coding RNA is filed under the name Glycine max (soybean). RNAcentral's name for it is "long non-coding RNA (GMAX_LNC003080)". The record is from RNAcentral. Lineage: Eukaryota; Viridiplantae; Streptophyta; Magnoliopsida; Fabales; Fabaceae.
CACUGAUUAAUCUUUUGUUAUUACAUUACUCGUUUCUUAUUUAUUAAAGAUUCGAAUUGCAAAUUGAACUAUUAUACAAUUCUUAAAAUAUAGUAAUUGACAUAAAUUUUCUCUCAAAUUCUUAAGCACAGCAAAUUGUGUGUGGAGCCCACAAUAGUGAUACUUGAGAUUCGAGAGUCGUUGAUUCGCUGAGUGGAUAUGAUAAUGGCAUUGAAGUGUAGAUGGAGUGAUGUGAGGGCGAAGCAGCAUAUCACAAUCGGGUGAAGAAGAAAAAUCUAUGCGUCGUGAGUGGUGAAAUAAGCUACGUGGCAAUAGAAGAUUGGGUCCACGUGACACCUUUUUCGAGAAAAAUCGUUUUUGAUCAGACAAAAAAACCGGUAAUCGGGUGAAAGGCGAUGAAUGAUCCAGUACAACGAAGGCACGCG